UCAAAUAUAUAAAUUCUACCAAAACUUGACAAAGUUUUUCCUAAAAGUUGGACAUUCCCAAAGGUAUGAUUUUCUGCUUAAUCCAGUAUGUUCAUACAUACAUAUACAAAUUCAGAUUUCUAACAAACAAAACAUCUAACGAUGCAUAACAGGAGUACAUACAUAUACAUGCAAUCAUUCCAAUUAAGCAAACACAGUGAAAGCU
RNAcentral lists this long non-coding RNA (205 nucleotides) under Elaeis guineensis (African oil palm). RNAcentral describes it as "long non-coding RNA (EGUI_LNC014087)". The record is from RNAcentral. Lineage: Eukaryota; Viridiplantae; Streptophyta; Magnoliopsida; Arecales; Arecaceae.